Molecule: ribosomal RNA, 499 nt
Filed under: uncultured bacterium
Lineage: Bacteria
Description: partial 16S ribosomal RNA
Rfam family: Bacterial small subunit ribosomal RNA
Source: RNAcentral
GACGAACGCUGGCGGCGUGCCUAAUACAUGCAAGUCGAGCGAAGUUUUUCUGGUGCUUGCACUAGAAAAACUUAGCGGCGAACGGGUGAGUAACACGUAAAGAACCUGCCUCAUAGACUGGGACAACUAUUGGAAACGAUAGCUAAUACCGGAUAACAGUAUUUCUCGCAUGAGAGAUAUUUAAAAGUUGGUUAUGCUAACACUAUGAGAUGGCUUUGCGGUGCAUUAGCUAGUUGGUGGGGUAAAGGCCCACCAAGGCGACGAUGCAUAGCCGACCUGAGAGAGUGAUCGGCCACACUGGGACUGAGACACGGCCCAGACUCCUACGGGAGGCAGCAGUAGGGAAUCUUCCGCAAUGGGCGAAAGCCUGACGGAGCAACGCCGCGUGAGUGAAGAAGGAUUUCGGUUCGUAAAGCUCUGUUGUUAGGGAAGAAUGGAUAUGUAGUAACUAUACAUGUAAGAGACGGUACCUAACCAGAAAGCCACGGCUAACUACGUG